Molecule: ribosomal RNA, 292 nt
Filed under: uncultured bacterium
Lineage: Bacteria
Description: partial 16S ribosomal RNA
Rfam family: Bacterial small subunit ribosomal RNA
Source: RNAcentral
GUUUCAGCAGCCGCGGUAAGACGGAGGGUGCAAGCGUUGUUCGGAAUUACUGGGCGUAAAGCGUACGUAGGCGGCGGAUUAAGUCGAAUGUUAAAGCCUGGGGCUCAACCCCAGAGAUGCACUCGAUACUGGUUUGCUAGAGGGUGAUAGAGGAAAGUGGAAUUCCGAGUGUAGCGGUGAAAUGCGUAGAUAUUCGGAGGAACAUCAGUAGCGAAGGCGACUUUCUGGGUCACACCUGACGCUGAGGUACGAAAGCGUGGGGAGCAAACGGGAUUAGAUACCCCCGUAGUCC